GGUAAGCCAAAAGUUCACUGGGGUUUUUCUGUAACAUCGUAGGGAAAAAACCCUAACGAACUUUUUGGCCAACC
Molecule: microRNA precursor, 74 nt
Filed under: Tursiops truncatus (common bottlenose dolphin)
Lineage: Eukaryota; Metazoa; Chordata; Mammalia; Artiodactyla; Delphinidae
Description: miRNA (ENSTTRG00000025267.1)
Source: RNAcentral